CAGGUCCAUACGGUUACCCAAUAAGGAUACCCAAUUUAUUGUUUUGGCUGUGAUUUGGUCCUGCACCCGGACACUGACUGAUCAAAACUCACUUCAGUAAUGGAACUGCAAUCAGUAUGGCUGAAAACUCAUGCCUGCCAUACCAGCUAAAACAGAUAAUAACACGGUGCGGCCGGGCCCCUGAAAUAAGUGGCCCCUCUACAGAAGAUGCAACCACCAUGUCCAGUACACUAUGGUGCCAUCUGCUGGGGGAGAACAGCAACUGCAGGCAAUUAAACUAUAUAAAAAUUGGUUCUGACUUUACGCCAGUGUUUCCCAACCAGGGUGCCUCCAGCUGUUGCAAAACUACAACUCCCAGCAUGCCUGGACAGCCGAAGGCUUUUUGUUGCUGCUUUUUGUUGUUUUUUUAUGUUGAAUUUUUGUCUGUGCAAUUGGUUCUGUGUUAUGUGUUAUUUGUUAUGAUAUGUAUUUUGGAAAUUAAAAAUAAAGAAUAAAAAAAAACUAUCAAAAAUUUGGUUCUGACUUUACGCCAGUGUUUCCCAACCAGGGUGCCUCCAGCUGUUGCAAAACUACAACUCCCAGCAUGC
Hyla sarda is the source of this 587-nucleotide long non-coding RNA. RefSeq lists it as uncharacterized. NCBI's taxonomy places the organism in Eukaryota, Metazoa, Chordata, Amphibia, Anura, Hylidae. The transcript is spliced from 3 exons. The record is from RefSeq and is a predicted model, not a curated record.